Molecule: ribosomal RNA, 460 nt
Filed under: uncultured bacterium
Lineage: Bacteria
Description: partial 16S ribosomal RNA
Rfam family: Bacterial small subunit ribosomal RNA
Source: RNAcentral
CCUACGGGAGGCAGCAGUGAGGAAUAUUGGUCAAUGGACGAGAGUCUGAACCCGCCAAGUAGCGUGAAGGAUGACUGCCCUAUGGGUUGUAAACUUCUUUUAUAUGGGAAUAAAAUGUUCCACGUGUGGGAUUUUGUAUGUACCAUAUGAAUAAGGAUCGGCUAACUCCGUGCCAGCAGCCGCGGUAAUACGGAGGAUCCGAGCGUUAUCCGGAUUUAUUGGGUUUAAAGGGAGCGUAGGUGGAUUGUUAAGUCAGUUGUGAAAGUUUGCGGCUCAACCGUAAAAUUGCAGUUGAAACUGGCAGUCUUGAGUACAGUAGAGGUGGGCGGAAUUCGUGGUGUAGCGGUGAAAUGCUUAGAUAUCACGAAGAACUCCGAUUGCGAAGGCAGUUCACUGGACUGCAACUGACACUGAGGCUCGAAAGUGUGGGUAUCAAACAGGAUUAGAUACCCCUGUAGUC